UAGGGAAUCUUCCACAAUGGACGCAAGUCUGAUGGAGCAGCGCCGCGUGAGUGAAGAAGGGUUUCGGCUCGUAAAGCUCUGUUGUUAAAGAAGAACGUGGGUAAGAGUAACUGUUUACCCAGUGACGGUAUUUAACCAGAAAGCCACGGCUAACUACGUGCCAG
RNAcentral lists this ribosomal RNA (164 nucleotides) under uncultured bacterium. Its description in RNAcentral is "partial 16S rRNA". It matches the Rfam family "Bacterial small subunit ribosomal RNA", at positions 355 to 511 of the family's 1533-position model. The record is from RNAcentral.